Molecule: ribosomal RNA, 602 nt
Filed under: uncultured bacterium
Lineage: Bacteria
Description: bacterial SSU rRNA
Rfam family: Bacterial small subunit ribosomal RNA
Source: RNAcentral
GAAAGAUUUAUUGGUAUAGGAGGAGUCUGCGGCACAUUAGCUAGUAGGUGAGGUAAAGGCUUACCUAGGCGACGAUGUGUAGCCGGUCUGAGAGGAUGAACGGCCACAAUGGAACUGAGACACGGUCCAUACUCCUACGGGAGGCAGCAGUGGGGAAUAUUGCACAAUGGGGGAAACCCUGAUGCAGCAACGCCGCGUGAGUGAAGAAGGUUUUCGGAUUGUAAAGCUCUGUUAGCAGGGAAGAGGAAGGACGGUACCUGCAGAGGAAGCCACGGCUAACUACGUGCCAGCAGCCGCGGUAAUACGUAGGUGGCAAGCGUUGUUCGGAAUAACUGGGCGUAAAGGAUGCGUAGGCGGUUAAACAAGUUAUAUGUUAAAUAUAUAGGCUUAACCUGUAGAAAGCAUAUAAAACUGUUUAACUAGAGUGCAGGAGAGGUAAGUGGAAUUCCUAGUGUAGCGGUGAAAUGCGUAGAGAUUAGGAAGAACACCAGUGGCGAAGGCGACUUACUGGACUGUAACUGACGCUGAGGCAUGAGAGCAUGGGGAGCAAACAGGAUUAGAUACCCUGGUAGUCCAUGCUGUAAACGAUGGGUACUAGGUGU